Tachyglossus aculeatus (Australian echidna) is the source of this 138-nucleotide small nucleolar RNA. The record is from RefSeq and is a predicted model, not a curated record. NCBI's taxonomy places the organism in Eukaryota, Metazoa, Chordata, Mammalia, Monotremata, Tachyglossidae.
CCCCUCUCAGGGUGACACCUGGAGAGUUUCCAGUACUCUACCUGUCUUGGCUACGGGAGGGAGAGUCAAGCAGAAGUCUACCCAUUCCAUUCCUAGCUUGGCCAGUGUUUAGUAAGUGCAAGGCAAUCUGCUACAAGU